Molecule: ribosomal RNA, 732 nt
Filed under: uncultured bacterium
Lineage: Bacteria
Description: bacterial SSU rRNA
Rfam family: Bacterial small subunit ribosomal RNA
Source: RNAcentral
GCUCAGGAUAACCGCUGGCGGCGUGCCUAACACAUGCAAGUCGAACGCCAUACGCAAGUAGGGAGUGGCGGACGGGUGAGGAACACGUGGAUACCUACCAUGAGGUGAGGAAUACCGGCGAGAACUCGCCGACAAUACCGCAUACGUUUGGAACCAACCAACGCUCGCAAGAGUGGGACCGGAUGGGUCUGCGUCUGAUUAGCUGGUUGGUGGGGUAACGGCCUACCAAGGCGACGAUCAGUAGCUGGUCUGAGAGGACGAUCAGGGACCCUGGGAUUGAGAACGGCCAAGACUCCUACGGGGGGCAGCAGUGAGGAAUUUUCGGCAAUGGGCGCAAGCCUGACCGAGUAACGCCGCGUGCAGGAUGACGGCCUUCGGGUUGUAACCUGCUUUUCUCUGGGACGAGUAAGGACGGUACCAGAGGAACAAGCCACGGCUAACUACGUGCCAGCAACCGCGGUAAUACGUAGGGGGCGAGUGUUGUCCGGAGUUACUGGGCGUAACGCGCACGCAGGCGGUCUCGUAAGUUUGGAGUGACAGUUCCUGGCUCAACUGGGAACGUGCUUCGAACACUGCGAGACUUGAGGGCUUCAGAGGGACACGGAAUUCCGGGUGGAGUGGUGAACUGCGUAGAGAUCCGGAGGAACACCAACGGCGAAGGCAGUGUCCUGGGGAGUACCUGACGCUCAGGUGCGAACGCCAGGGGAGUGAACGGGAUUAGAUACCACGGUA